This 2931-nucleotide ribosomal RNA is filed under the name Escherichia coli. RNAcentral describes it as "23S ribosomal RNA". It matches the Rfam family "Bacterial large subunit ribosomal RNA". The record is from RNAcentral. Lineage: Bacteria; Pseudomonadati; Pseudomonadota; Gammaproteobacteria; Enterobacterales; Enterobacteriaceae.
GGGUUGUGAGGUUAAGCGACUAAGCGUACACGGUGGAUGCCCUGGCAGUCAGAGGCGAUGAAGGACGUGCUAAUCUGCGAUAAGCGUCGGUAAGGUGAUAUGAACCGUUAUAACCGGCGAUUUCCGAAUGGGGAAACCCAGUGUGAUUCGUCACACUAUCAUUAACUGAAUCCAUAGGUUAAUGAGGCGAACCGGGGGAACUGAAACAUCUAAGUACCCCGAGGAAAAGAAAUCAACCGAGAUUCCCCCAGUAGCGGCGAGCGAACGGGGAGGAGCCCAGAGCCUGAAUCAGUGUGUGUGUUAGUGGAAGCGUCUGGAAAGGCGCGCGAUACAGGGUGACAGCCCCGUACACAAAAAUGCACAUGCUGUGAGCUCGAUGAGUAGGGCGGGACACGUGGUAUCCUGUCUGAAUAUGGGGGGACCAUCCUCCAAGGCUAAAUACUCCUGACUGACCGAUAGUGAACCAGUACCGUGAGGGAAAGGCGAAAAGAACCCCGGCGAGGGGAGUGAAAAAGAACCUGAAACCGUGUACGUACAAGCAGUGGGAGCCCUGAUUUAUCAGGGUGACUGCGUACCUUUUGUAUAAUGGGUCAGCGACUUAUAUUCUGUAGCAAGGUUAACCGAAUAGGGGAGCCGAAGGGAAACCGAGUCUUAACUGGGCGUUAAGUUGCAGGGUAUAGACCCGAAACCCGGUGAUCUAGCCAUGGGCAGGUUGAAGGUUGGGUAACACUAACUGGAGGACCGAACCGACUAAUGUUGAAAAAUUAGCGGAUGACUUGUGGCUGGGGGUGAAAGGCCAAUCAAACCGGGAGAUAGCUGGUUCUCCCCGAAAGCUAUUUAGGUAGCGCCUCGUGAAUUCAUCUCCGGGGGUAGAGCACUGUUUCGGCAAGGGGGUCAUCCCGACUUACCAACCCGAUGCAAACUGCGAAUACCGGAGAAUGUUAUCACGGGAGACACACGGCGGGUGCUAACGUCCGUCGUGAAGAGGGAAACAACCCAGACCGCCAGCUAAGGUCCCAAAGUCAUGGUUAAGUGGGAAACGAUGUGGGAAGGCCCAGACAGCCAGGAUGUUGGCUUAGAAGCAGCCAUCAUUUAAAGAAAGCGUAAUAGCUCACUGGUCGAGUCGGCCUGCGCGGAAGAUGUAACGGGGCUAAACCAUGCACCGAAGCUGCGGCAGCGACACUAUGUGUUGUUGGGUAGGGGAGCGUUCUGUAAGCCUGUGAAGGUGUGCUGUGAGGCAUGCUGGAGGUAUCAGAAGUGCGAAUGCUGACAUAAGUAACGAUAAAGCGGGUGAAAAGCCCGCUCGCCGGAAGACCAAGGGUUCCUGUCCAACGUUAAUCGGGGCAGGGUGAGUCGACCCCUAAGGCGAGGCCGAAAGGCGUAGUCGAUGGGAAACAGGUUAAUAUUCCUGUACUUGGUGUUACUGCGAAGGGGGGACGGAGAAGGCUAUGUUGGCCGGGCGACGGUUGUCCCGGUUUAAGCGUGUAGGCUGGUUUUCCAGGCAAAUCCGGAAAAUCAAGGCUGAGGCGUGAUGACGAGGCACUACGGUGCUGAAGCAACAAAUGCCCUGCUUCCAGGAAAAGCCUCUAAGCAUCAGGUAACAUCAAAUCGUACCCCAAACCGACACAGGUGGUCAGGUAGAGAAUACCAAGGCGCUUGAGAGAACUCGGGUGAAGGAACUAGGCAAAAUGGUGCCGUAACUUCGGGAGAAGGCACGCUGAUAUGUAGGUGAAGUCCCUCGCGGAUGGAGCUGAAAUCAGUCGAAGAUACCAGCUGGCUGCAACUGUUUAUUAAAAACACAGCACUGUGCAAACACGAAAGUGGACGUAUACGGUGUGACGCCUGCCCGGUGCCGGAAGGUUAAUUGAUGGGGUCAGCGCAAGCGAAGCUCUUGAUCGAAGCCCCGGUAAACGGCGGCCGUAACUAUAACGGUCCUAAGGUAGCGAAAUUCCUUGUCGGGUAAGUUCCGACCUGCACGAAUGGCGUAAUGAUGGCCAGGCUGUCUCCACCCGAGACUCAGUGAAAUUGAACUCGCUGUGAAGAUGCAGUGUACCCGCGGCAAGACGGAAAGACCCCGUGAACCUUUACUAUAGCUUGACACUGAACAUUGAGCCUUGAUGUGUAGGAUAGGUGGGAGGCUUAGAAGUGUGGACGCCAGUCUGCAUGGAGCCGACCUUGAAAUACCACCCUUUAAUGUUUGAUGUUCUAACGUUGACCCGUGAUCCGGGUUGCGGACAGUGUCUGGUGGGUAGUUUGACUGGGGCGGUCUCCUCCUAAAGAGUAACGGAGGAGCACGAAGGUUGGCUAAUCCUGGUCGGACAUCAGGAGGUUAGUGCAAUGGCAUAAGCCAGCUUGACUGCGAGCGUGACGGCGCGAGCAGGUGCGAAAGCAGGUCAUAGUGAUCCGGUGGUUCUGAAUGGAAGGGCCAUCGCUCAACGGAUAAAAGGUACUCCGGGGAUAACAGGCUGAUACCGCCCAAGAGUUCAUAUCGACGGCGGUGUUUGGCACCUCGAUGUCGGCUCAUCACAUCCUGGGGCUGAAGUAGGUCCCAAGGGUAUGGCUGUUCGCCAUUUAAAGUGGUACGCGAGCUGGGUUUAGAACGUCGUGAGACAGUUCGGUCCCUAUCUGCCGUGGGCGCUGGAGAACUGAGGGGGGCUGCUCCUAGUACGAGAGGACCGGAGUGGACGCAUCACUGGUGUUCGGGUUGUCAUGCCAAUGGCACUGCCCGGUAGCUAAAUGCGGAAGAGAUAAGUGCUGAAAGCAUCUAAGCACGAAACUUGCCCCGAGAUGAGUUCUCCCUGAGACUUAAAGUCUCCUGAAGGAACGUUGAAGACGACGACGUUGAUAGGCCGGGUGUGUAAGCGCAGCGAUGCGUUGAGCUAACCGGUACUAAUGAACCGUGAGGCUUAACCUUACAACGCCGAAGCUGUU